Molecule: long non-coding RNA, 2461 nt
Organism: Melospiza melodia melodia
Lineage: Eukaryota; Metazoa; Chordata; Aves; Passeriformes; Passerellidae
Exons: 3
Source: RefSeq, a predicted model, not a curated record
GGGGGAACGAACGGGAAUGGAUGAGGAUUUGCCAUUGUCAAGACCUAGGAGGCUGCGAGGAAGAGGAAGAUGCCCCAGGACACUGAUGCAGCAGGAGCUGAGCAUGCAGAGCAGGGAGGACAAAUGCCCGUGGCAGAACCUGGUGGAAGAGGCUGUUUUGAGUGGCUCCACGGCACAGGAAGCCAACGGGGAGGAAAAGCCCCGGAGAUGCCGCACGAGGAGGGGCUGCAAACUCAGCUGACGGGGAUCUGAUGGGGAAAGAGCCAGCCUAGGCCAGGAAGGCGGCUGGAGAUGGAGCCAGAGCUCGGAGCUGGUGCUCCACGAGCAGCUCCAUGAUGGGGAGAAGCCCCACUCGUUCAGGGAGGAACUGCAACCUGAUCAGGCACCAUAGGACCCACACUGGGGAACGGCCCUACACGUGUGUGGGGUGUGGGAAGAGCUUCAGCUAGAACUCCACACUGAUCACGCACCAGAGGACCCACACUGGGGAGAGGCCCUACGAGUGUGAUAAAUGCAGGAAGAGUUUUCUGACCAGCUCCCAUCUCGUCCGGCACUAUCAGAGUCACACAGAGGAGAGGCCCUUCCGCUGCCCCGACUGUGGGAAAGGAUUCAAGCACAACUCCAUCCUUGUGGAGUACCGUCGCAUCCAUACUGGGGCGAGGCCCUAUGAGUGUCCCCAGUGUGGGAAGAGCUUCUCCACCAGCUCUACCUUGAACGAACACCAACGGAGGCACCAGUAAGGGAAGCCCUGCGAGUUCCUCGAGUGCCGGACGAGCUUCGUGCGCUGCUCCCGCUCCAUUCCCCACUGGAGGAGGCACUUUGGGCACAGCCCUGGUGACCCACAUUCCCUGUGACCCAUUUUGGGAACACACCUGUCUGCUUCUCCUUUUGGUUUGGCCUUAAUUUUCUUCUGCUUCAUCUUCAUCCCUUAAAAAGUGCCAAAACAGAGUUAAAUGAAUGAAAUUGAUCAAAGAUAUCUAAAGUCCCACCAUUUCACAGGUGUUUGAGGGGGAAUUUAGGAUUUGGGGACACAUUCUGUGUGGAGUGCCCCUGUUGCUAAUAGGCGGGAAUUUGAUCUCCCCCUUCUUGUGUUGCUAAGAACUCCUCCCUUGACCCAAACCUGAAGUCCACCCCUGUGAUACCCUAUAAAAACCCCAUGGCCCUGCCUUUGCCCUGUCUUUUGGGAGUCAGAAAUGGAUUCUGGAGCUUUCUGGAACCCAGACCCGUCUCAUUUAUUCCUGGCAGCGGCAGCUGCAGCCUCCCUGGACACCAUGAACUCUGGAGAAUGGAGGCAGCCAGUGAGGACAGGUCCUGGAUUGCAAGAUCAGUAUGUGUUCUGUUUGCCAUCUGUCAGAGGUGGGGCAGUUAUCUUCUGUUUAUUGGGCAGUUUAUCUCUUCCACAACCAAUCCUUUCUCCAACAGAUAUCUUCUGAUAAUGGAUGGGCCAUAAAUUAUUAAUUAUCUGCUGUUAAUGGGCCAUUGAGUGUCCCUGCAUGGCUGAUAAAAUGACAUUAUGCCAUUGGGUGAUGCUCCACCCAGAAGAGGAGCCAAGCAUUCCUACCUGGAUAGAAUCUGAGGUUUGGAACACCACAGCAACCUUUUCCCACUGGAUUGCCAGAGGAUCAGCCUUUUUCCACUGGAUUGCCAAAGGAUCAGCCUUCUUCCACUGGAUUCUCAGAGGAGCAGCUGUCUUCUCCACUGGAUUCCCAGAGGAAGACCAGACCCAUCUGCAGCACUCCUGGACCUUCAGAGGAAAACUCCACCCUUCUCCAGGGUUCCUGCUCCAACAGAACCAUCCCUGGCACUGCAGGAGGGCUGCAGCCACCAUGGAAUGGGACUGUGCCACCACCCUGACCCACAGGGUGUCAGGUCCUGUUCUGACUCUGUUAGUGGCUUUUUUUUCUUUGUACUACUGCGUUUGUAUUUUUAAUUUUUCCUAAAAGAGGAACUGUUAUUCCUGCUCCCAUAUCUUUGCCUGAGAGCUCCUUAAUUUCAAAAUUAUAACAAUUCAGAGGGAGGGGGUUUGCAUUUUCCAUUCCGGGGGAGGCUCCUGCUUUCCUUAGCAGACACCUGGCUUUUCAAAUACAGACAAUAACAAAGUUACUUUAUCACCACAGAUAUAAAAUCCAUCUUAAUAUCUGCAAAAAGCCAAUAUUAAGUGUCCGUAACAAUAAACCUCUUGCUGAGUGAUGGUAGAUGUCAAAGUAACUUUGUUCUAAAGAUGUACCUUUUAUUUCUUUUGUUAAUUAAGCUUAGUGAAAGAUACAUGCUGAUGGCAGACGGUGUCAAAUGCCUUAGCAGGAGUAACUAUGACUCUCUUAAGAUGAGGGCAUAGUUACUAACUGGGCAUAGCUGCGGAAGUCGCACCUGCUCGUGGUCCCGCAGGAUACCCUUGUGGUAACUGAGUCGACUUCUGCCCCAGUGUGAGAGAGGGCGCAUAUCAGCCCUCCCUGACGUUGGA